Nothobranchius furzeri (turquoise killifish) is the source of this 6091-nucleotide long non-coding RNA. RefSeq lists it as uncharacterized. NCBI's taxonomy places the organism in Eukaryota, Metazoa, Chordata, Actinopteri, Cyprinodontiformes, Nothobranchiidae. The record is from RefSeq and is a predicted model, not a curated record.
UAUCUAAGGGAAGGAGGGAUGCCUGAGGUAUUUUGGUAACGCCUUUAAACUUGUCACGUUCUGAUUUGUCUAAAUUUGCAAACUAGUUAAUAAAGGCUAGCUCACCUCCUGGGCUAGUCAGCCACCUCCCGGUUCGACCGACUGGGUGAGCAAAGCACUUGGAACCAUCCUCUCUUGACUCAAGGUCAAAGCGUCUUUGCAAUACUUGUAAGUGGUAUCAGACGCUACAACUCCUCAGUCACGGAACGUCUUACUAGCAAACCCUGGUCGUAUCUUAUGGUCGGUGAUAACUGAAUUCAAAGGGAGCUACUGUGGGUUUAUGUAGUUUUACAAAAGAGUCAGAGACGGGGAUCACCAUCUAACAGCGUGGGUCUUUAAUCAAUCUGUUCACAGCAUACAGGACAGCCUCUUAGACCGAAAGACCCCAGACCAAGCGUGGGGUGCUCCAUUUAUCCCCUUCUUGCUACGUGCCCACGCUGCGCGCUACAUGCGCAACAGUGUUGACACAGCAACAGGAAACAUCAGGAAACAUCUGUCCACUUCUGAUAAGCACUUAUUAUGAACACGUCCUCUUACUGGAUACUUUUGGCUGGAACACAGGAUCAUUCUGAUUCACAUCAGUCUACUGUUAACAUGUCAGAUAAGUAUCAGACUUUACUGGAAGCACAUCUCAACGUUGGCCAAAACAGCAAAUUCCUUUGGAGCUGAUGGGGGAAAAAACAGCACACGGACCUCUCCCAUCAGGUUUUAACCCAAAGACUCACUAUUCAGCUCGAUACCUUUUGCAGAUGACCUCUUGACCUUUCUGGCCACUACACUACGACUCUUUGAGAUUCCAGGCGCCACUUCCUUCCAGUGACAUCACCAAUCUGGCUGCCUUUCCUCCGGACCACCGAGAGCUCACAAUGCACACUGGCGUGGGACGGUUUUAUGAAUAACUGAAAGCUUGUCAAACCAUACAGUCAGACUGAUUUUACAACCCAAACAGCUCAAGAUUUCUCAAAUACUUAAUAAGAUUUUGCUACAAAACAUGAAAACUUACAUUCAGUCAUUUCAUUCAUUGUCUCAUAAUCAUGUCCUAUUAUCAAUCACCAUCUUUUUUUCCUGGAUCAUCGAUUUUUUAGAAACAGAACUAAAUUAAUUUUUAUAAACUAUACCCUUGACUCUGUCUGAAUUAAUAUGAAGUGUGUGUUCCCUGAAUAGUCCAAAGCACCCUACGUUAAUAUUAAAUCAAAUAUUCAAAGAACAAUCAGAUUGAUAAUUCAUAAUUAUAUGAAAUAUCACAUCUUAUUGAUGAUUUAAUAAGUUUAAAGGGACUUUACAGAGUUUUGAAUUUUUAUGCUCGUGAUUGCCCCCUCAGGCCAAAAGGGUAACGGCAGCUUCAAUAGUAGGCUCGUGCACGAGGCGCCCAUGCUGUACGUGCACACUCCUUAACAAAAAUAACAGCUGAGACAGUCCCGUGUGUGUGUGUGUGUGGCCCGGAGGACAGAGGACAGGAGAACGCGCAGCUAAUUAAUUAAAUAAUUUGGUUCUGUACCUUUCUCUUCAGCACAGCCGACAAAGGUUUAAGAUGGGUCAGUCCUCCUGCAUGCUCAGAUCAUUCCCUUCCCUUGUUUGAAAAAUUGUUCCAAAAUGAAAGUUGAACCUACAUCCUUUUUGUCUGUGAAUUCAACGCCGUUCGGCGAGUCUCAAAUAAAAAUUUGGGCAUCUUACUGUAAAAAAAAUAUACCAUUAAUGUAAAAAAGAAACUAAAUGAACUAUAUUCCCACCGAGAAUCGAAGCCAGGUCUUCUGCAUGGAAGACCUGGGGCCCAUGGACAUCUUACAAAGUGAGCCACACUCUCCUUGCAUUCCCAGUAUCUGUACCUUUUAUAUCCUUGAUGACACCUGAAACAACGUCAAACCAAAGAACGGUUCGAAGCGAAAAAGAGGAACAAAGAAAUGAAUGCAAGUCACUGGAGCCAAUGUUUUCUUAUUCCGCUUGUUAUGUGCCAUGAAUUUCAAAUAUGAUGUCUGUGAAUUUUAAAGACAUAUUUUGACACCAAGACCGCACUUAUUUGCUAACGGGGGAAAUGCACAAGAGGGUAAAGGUCACAAUUCGGUGAAAUCUCUGUUUUACUGCAGCAGUCAGAAAACGAUGCUCCAGCACAGCGUGUUGGGAGCUAACAAAACAAACACUUGGUCACCCCGCAUCAUUUUUCAACACUUAGGGUUUGAGAAUGUGUUGGAGAAAGCCCAUAUCCUCUCUCUCUCUCUCAUUCUCUUCUUCUUUUUACCUCCUCUCCAGUCACAGAGACCCCCUACUGGUGACGGAAUAUAAAUGUAUAUUCUUGUUUGCCAUCUUGUGUGUGUCCCAGUAACAGGCCUGUUGCGUUUAACUUUUUGUAGUAGGAUUUUCACAUAUUCCAUUUGUUACAGAGGCCUGAGCCAAAUGAGCAAUUCUUCUCACCCUUUUGUGCAUCUUAUCAGCCAUGUAAUUUACAAGCUUCUUCAUUGCAAAAUAAAACAAAACAAAAUAAACCACUGGUCAUCAGCCGAGAGAGGGGAUACAGCUGGUCUGGCCACCAGUCCAUCACAGGUCAAUGUAUCCCAUUUUCCUGCCGUGUUUAUAUGUGGUCACAAACACCAGUUUUAAAACUGGGCAGCAUGGUGGUGAAGUUGGUAGCACUGCUGACUCAAAGUCACAGGUUCUAAACUUGGAGUUUAAAUGUACUCCCUAUGGGUGUUUUCUGAGUGCUGCAGAUUUAGCCCAAAAGGCAAAAACAUGAAUGUUCACCUGAAACUGCAAGUUGCUUUGGAUAAAAGUGAUAAAUGUUAAAUGUUUGUUUACACUAAAGUCAUGUUUGAUCUCGAGAGAUUUCCUUUCUGACCAAGGUAUCGGUUAGUGUAUAGUGUUUUCCUAGUUGCGGUACGCCACAGGUGCUAUAGUUUUAUCACCAUGUGCUCUCUCAUGCAUUGAAAAUCCAUCCAUCCAUUUUUGACCACUUCUCUGGGGUCAGGUCACAAGGCAGUAGCCUAAGCAGGGAGGCCCAGACUUCCCUUUCCCCAGCCACUUGAGCCAGCUCUUUGGCUGGGGAAUCCUAAGGCCUUCCCUGGCCAUCCGUGAGACAAAGUCUCUCCAGCGUGUCCUGGGUCUUCCUUUAGGUCUUCUCAUGACCAGAUACUUUGAAAAUCGUUCCAGUAAUUUAAACAUCUUGCUGUGCUUAAUGCAAUGGUCCUUAACAUCUUGUUGGCUCUUUGUCUGUGGAAAACCAAACCAGUCUUAACGCUUAAAAGAACCAGUAAAGAACCAGCUUUAACAUCAGCCCUGUAUAGAACUAGUGGGGAAUAUCCAGUAUGUGUUGGCUUCCCAAAUAAUCAGAAUCAGAAUCAGAAUAGGUUUAUUGCCAUUGUCAGUGAACAAACAAUUCACAAACUAGGAACUUUCUUCGGUACUAAUAAUUUUCCACUGUUGUAAAGUUUUUAUGUGAAAUCAGAGUAGUUUUCAAAUGAAAUGGCUCUAAUGAACCACAUACUCCAAAGAAAGUAAUUUAUCCCUUAAUAACAAUUGGUUUGGUGCGGUAUCUUAAUGGGACUGUAAAAUAGCUCUUGGCAGAGCUCUUCUUCCAUCACCAAGCAGGAUUGAGCUCACACUGAGCAUUCACACUUGUUAUGAUCUUUGUGUGAUACCACAGGCCACAAUGGGUGACAUCCUUGGUAAUCAGCACCCGCUGCCUGUGACAACAGAGGUAUAUGUGUAGAUGACAUGUCAUGUGGUCCCAUACUGAGUCAUCUUGUGUGGGUUUCAUAACAUGGAGAAUGAAGGUGUGAGGCUAGACAUAAAAGAGAGGAGAUCGCAGUAGGAGACGAGGAGGCAGCGGCACACAUGCAGAGUUGGGUGGUUUGUGUGAAUGGCUAAUGACGAACAAAGUCAUCCACAAUUCUCAUAUGGGAUAGGAAGUCAUGGGCGUCAGCUAGCACCCUUCCAGAUGCACCAAAGCGUGAAUGUCUCCUGUUGGCAAACUGUUAAAACACCUCCCACAGUCUAAGAUGGUUUGACUUUUUAUGUGGAUCGGUUGAAGGUUCUUUAUUUAGGAGAAUGCUAAUUGCACAGCCCACUGAGAAUGUCUUGUCUCGUUUUUUUCUAAAGUUAUACAUCACAAAGAUUAGGCGUAUUUAUCGUGGAUACACUGCCUCAAUUAAAAUAUUUCUAAUUGUUUUCUGCAUUUUCCCGUACUCAACCUGUCUCAUAGGUUUAAUUAUCAGCAAACAGUUCAUUAUUAUGUUCUGUUUACCUUGAAAUCAGCAAAUAGUUUCAUCUUUUUUACACAUUUUAAUUAAGGCAGAAAUCCUCUGUCAGACAGGAAGUUCCAGUGUCAGGAAUCAUGUGCAAAAAGAGUCAGAACCCCAUUCUAACAUAAUGUAUGCAAAGUAACGCGUUAGGCAUCUGCUAACAAAAAUAUGUCAUUCACAAGCGUGCAAACACACAUUUGUGCGAGUCCUGAGCAGUGUUUUUGAGCUGUUUACAAAUCUGUGAGGACAGAGCAAAUCAUGGAGCAGCAACAAUUGCGGAACAUUAUGUGGGAAUAAUAAUAAACAUAGAGGUGCGUGCUCUUGAAGGAGAGGAGUUGGUCCCAGCUGAGAGGGGCUUAAAGGCGCAAGGAGAGGUUGGAGUGGUGAGGAUGGUGCUGAGCGUGGACAGCCUCUAGGAUAUUCCCUCUGAGAAAUUAAGUCCAGAUUUCUGCUUUGACAUAAAGGUAAACAAUUGUCUUCUAAAAGCUAAAACACAAGAAACUUUUCUGUCCUGGAUUUAUGGAACUCAUUCAUGACUUUGGAUGACUUUGAAGGGAUACUCAGCAACUUUUCCAAUGUUUUUAACCCUCUGGAGGCAGGAGUUGCAGAUUUGCAAUGUUAAAACCUACCUACCUGGUUACUCCACACACGCAUUUCAUGAGCAUUUUUUCAACUCAAAAGUACCCCUGACGGAAUUAGUUGUUCGUCCUUUUUUCAAAACUUAUUUUGAGCCUGAGAGGGUUAAAGCCUUUCCUUGAGCUAGUAUAUGCCAAAAUGAAGGCCACCCAGCCUCUAUCGCCCCCUUUGGCCAGAAUAUUCCACUUGCAACUUCAGACUGGCGGGCCGCUCUGUUGGACUCGGACAACAACAUUGCGUUUACAUACCUGGUGCUGCAGUCUGGUUCCAGCACGUUUCCUGCAUGUUUUAGAGUAUGAACACAUAUGAUUUGUGUGAUUUAGUGAUCAAAUGCUCCUGUAGAAACUAAGGAAGGCUGGGAGACAUUCCAGCUGUUAGAUGAAGGCGUUAAAAAAAUGAAUGCACAGCAAUGAGAUGGAUGUUGGUUUUGUUUCUACAUACACUAAAACUAAGCCAAUACUGCCUAGUUCCCCUUAAAAGCCACAGUGUGUAAUAUUUCUACUUUUUUUACGUGAAAUCUGUGUAUUUGUUCACAAACUUGUCCGUUAUCAUUAAUGUUUUUCAUCAAAGUCUAUUUUAAACAUUCCUGUUAGCUUGAACUUUUACCUUUUUAUACAUGAACUGCAGUCAAUGCUCCUUAGUCAUGCACUAUCUUGAAAGUGUCAUGGUCUGGGGUGAGUCCUCCUCUCAGUCUAACCUUCUCUGAGCUUCCCCUGCAGGUGGGCAUGUCAGGGAGUGGAUCAGCUGCAGUCCAUCUGCUCAUCAGCUGGCCGGGGACAUAUAAGCUGCUGGGAGACAUCUUCACUUCGCUGGAUGAUUAGCUCAACUUGGAUUUUCACCACCACCUUCAUCAUGUACCUGCAACCCAUCCGGACCCGUUCCUCCGUCUCCCAGCCGGUCCCUGGUUGUCCACUCCUCCUUGACCACCCACCUUACCGGAUCCUGUCCUCGCUCCCGUGCUCAGCUCCUCCAGUCCGCCAGCCACCUGAAACCCCGGUCUCCUGUUAACCGGCAAAUGUGUGUCUCUGUUUUCUCACUCCUCCCAGACCACCACUGACCAAGCUACUCCCCCUUCUCAUGCUCCCCCCUGGACCACGAAUCAUACCUUCUGGAGUCCCAGCUGGAUUUUCCUGCUGCGCUUUAUGUUUACCCUUUUAUAAUAAACCUUAUUUCUUAUCAUAUCC